AUACGUAGGUGGCGAGCGUUACUCGGAAUUACUAGGCGUAAAGCGUAUGUAGGUGGUUAGAUAAGUCUGAUGUGAAAGCCCCGGGCUCAACCUGGGAAGUGCAUUGGAUACUGGCAGACUUGAAUACGGGAGAGGGCAGUGGAAUUCCUGGUGUAGGAGUGAAAUCCGUAGAUAUCAGGAGGAACACCGGUGGCGAAGGCGGCUGCCUGGACCGAUAUUGACGCUGAGACGCGAAAGCGUGGGUAGC
RNAcentral lists this ribosomal RNA (247 nucleotides) under uncultured bacterium. Its description in RNAcentral is "partial 16S ribosomal RNA". It matches the Rfam family "Bacterial small subunit ribosomal RNA", at positions 523 to 769 of the family's 1533-position model. The record is from RNAcentral.